GGGCUGGUAGCUCAGUGGAAGAACGGCUGUCUGAAACACGGUCGGUCUCGGGUUCAAAUCCCGACCAGUCCACAA
This 75-nucleotide transfer RNA is filed under the name Candidatus Nitrosotenuis uzonensis. RNAcentral's name for it is "tRNA-Phe". It matches the Rfam family "tRNA". Rfam says of the family: Transfer RNA (tRNA) molecules are approximately 80 nucleotides in length. Their secondary structure includes four short double-helical elements and three loops (D, anti-codon, and T loops). Lineage: Archaea; Thermoproteati; Nitrososphaerota. The record is from RNAcentral.